RNAcentral lists this ribosomal RNA (461 nucleotides) under uncultured bacterium. RNAcentral's name for it is "SSU rRNA". It matches the Rfam family "Bacterial small subunit ribosomal RNA", at positions 26 to 518 of the family's 1533-position model. The record is from RNAcentral.
AGAAUCAACGCUGGCGGCGUGCCUAACACAUGCAAGUCGCACGAGAAAGGGACUUCGGUCCUGAGUACAGUGGCGCACGGGUGAGUAACACGUGAAUAAUCUACCUCCGAGUGGGGAAUAACUGAGAGAAAUCUUAGCUAAUACCGCAUAACACUUACGAGUCAAAGCAGCAAUGCGCUUGGAGAGGAGUUCGCGGCAGAUUAGUUAGUUGGCGGGGUAAUGGCCCACCAAGACGAUGAUCUGUAUCCGGCCUGAGAGGGCGCACGGACACACUGGAACUGAAACACGGUCCAGACUCCUACGGGAGGCAGCAGUGGGGAAUUUUUGCGCAAUGGGGGAAACCCUGACGCAGCAACGCCGCGUGGAGGAUGAAAUCCCUUGGGAUGUAAACUCCUUUCGAUAGGGAAGAUAAUGACGGUACCUAUAGAAGAAGCCCCGGCUAACUUCGUGCCAGCAGCCGC